UGUGCUAGUUAGUCCUUAAAUUACCAUUGUAACAUCCAUGUGAAUGGAUAUAUUGAAUUUUUACAUAAAUGUCAAAGAAUUGAGAAAAAGAAGACAUGAGUGAGGUUAAAAAUUUGUCAUUUGUCAACGUAAUGCUCUGAACGUUUCUUCGUGUAUUUUUGUUUUGUUAUUUUUUUCUAUUAUGUAUUCGAAGUCGGGUCCAGUGAAAUUCCUCCGUUCGUUAGGAGACACGCGGGAAAGAUCAUCAUUAUUAAUAGGUGAUGUACCUCAACCGUAUGUAUAUUGCAGAAAUACAUUAACCAAGGCCAAGAAUAAAAGUCAUCACGGCUACAUAGAUAUUUCUAAAGAUUUAACUAAAUUUUGUACCGGUAGUACUUAUAGUGGCCAAUGGAACGCACUAGGCUUUUCGGGAUUUGGAACGUAUACUUAUCCAUGCGGUACCAUUUAUGAAGGAAAUUUUAAACUGGGAUUGUUUCAUGGUCGCGGUAAAAUUAGUUUUUGUGAUGGAAAAGCAAUUAUAGCACUAUUUCACAAAGGGAACAUUGUACGAGAAAUAGCCGUAGAAGUUUUUGGAAAGAUCGUACACAGAGAGAAUUUUAAAUAUUGUCAGAUGCCCGAUAGAAGAUAUUUCCGUCAACACUUCGAAGAACUGCAGCCCGUUGGAAAAGAAAAUCUCACGAAAGAUGAGACUCCACGAUACUUACCACCAAACAAUUAUGAUAUAGGCAAUGGUGUGUUUAAUGCAGACCAAAAUAUUAUUUUCCAAGAUGCCGAUCCAUGCAGCAACAUUAAAAGAGCAAGACUUCCUGAAUUCGAGGAGGUGGAGAAAAUUAAAAAGGAAUUCAGGAGUGGAAACGACUACAAUGUGGGGUAUAUUCCACAUUUCUACGAAAAAUGGUUUUCGGGCCAAGCUGUAGAAAGGCUUUUCCUGGAGCCGAUGUCAGAGGUCGAAACCCCAAAUCCGCCUUCGCCCGCAAGUAUCAGUAGCAGCAGCGACACGACACCAGAACCACAACCAUCCGCGGACUCUUAUGCAAAUUACUACGUGGAUUCGACGUACAGAGUGUUGGGCGGCAUUGAGUCGUUGCUAAUGAAUCCAGAUAUUUGCGGUUCUCCGGACAGUCUUAGUUUAACUUCUGUGUCGGAGACGGACUCUGCCAGUUCUGGAUUCAAAGAUAAACGAAUAACUCAUACACUACCGCCUUCAUAUGACGUAGAUAUAGACGAUAUAACAUAUGUGGAAGACUAUAAAGAGAUAAAUGAAGUCGCAGCUAAAAAUAUCAAAUCUAAUGAAGAAGGAAAUGAACCACAUAGCAGCGAUAUGGACGAAAAUUCUUCCUUUUUAGACGACAAUGAAGAAUCUCAAUUCACGUUAGAUAAGGAUGUUGACUAUGACUAUUAUUUGUCCGAUGAUUAUGAUGCUGACGACUCUGUGUCGCUGUAGCCGGGUUACAAAUUAUCGCUAGUAUUGUCAAAAUAUAAAUUUAUAAAAUGUCACAAAGCAAAGAUUCCGGUAAAAGUUCGCAAGGCUUAAAAACUACAGAUGACACCCAAGAAGACAAAAAGCAAGAAACCGACGAUGCUCAUAUAACGGUGUAUGCCAAGAAAAAGCCACAGCUGAACCAACCAGGAAAUUAUGUAAAAAUUAAUUGCGGUUCAUGCACGAAACUGAUACAUUUCGACGAAGAAUCUUCUAUAUCUUCAUGUGAUUCGGAUGUAGAUUACACUCUGCUAGAUUGUACCGAUUCUCAAAACGAAAUGAGUCAGCAAUCAACAUUGGCUUCUGGGGAGGGCGCAACGAAAAAAGACGACAGUCACACGGCAAGUUCCAGCAAGGAUAAACCAAAGUUCAACAUCCGGGAUUGAGUAACGAAGUAAAACGAAAUGUUGUAACGUAUCAUGACAAUAAAUGUUACAAAUAUUUUA
Aethina tumida (small hive beetle) is the source of this 1926-nucleotide RNA transcript. RefSeq lists it as uncharacterized. The record is from RefSeq and is a predicted model, not a curated record. Lineage: Eukaryota; Metazoa; Arthropoda; Insecta; Coleoptera; Nitidulidae. The transcript is spliced from 11 exons.